UUCCUCCUGUUUGUGAACUGCCAUUGAGUACACUUCACGCUUCAGGAGGCAAGAACUUGGGGGCGAGUACGACCGGAAAUGACCUGAAAGACCUAGAGAAGAAUUACGAUAAAGGAGAGGUGAGCUCUCACAACCCCGCUGUUUUCCCCAGUUUGUGUCACAUGACACUCAUUACAGGGCAAAUGGAGGGGAGGGAACUGCAAAAUAUUUACUCGUGAAAAGGAGUUUAGGAGGAAGAGAAGAGGCCAGGCACACCAAGCUCGACCGAUCCUGUCAGAAAUCGGUUAUGGAAAUAAUCAUGUAAGGGGCAGGUAAACAAGUAAAGCUGCAGGAACAAGGUCAGGAAGCAAGAUGGCGGUACCAUCCGGGUGUUCCGUUGAACCAUCAUGAGGCGCACCCCAUCCCUCCCCACGUCAGGUCCGAUAACCUAUGACCUCACGCUAGCCACAGGCGGACGCAGAUUGCCUCCACAGGUGCAACCUAAAGCUGCACGUUGCGACUAACGAGAUAACCUGGAAUUAACCCUUUCUCCUCCAGAUCGCAGGAUGGGAAGAAGGUUUCCUGAGGCUGACAGCGGACCUGCGAGCGCUGGGUUCAUUCAGUGCACUACACAGAGCCAUUGAUGGGUUGGAGUGACUUUAACCGACGUGGCAUAAAUGAUGACUUGUUUAGUCAGUUUACAAAUACUAAUCAGUCAUCCGCCAACGCGCGGGGAGUCCACAGUCUCUCAUAGUUCUCCUCUCAUCACCUGGUCGCAGGCCGCCCUCAAGGCCUGACAGACACCCAGGCCGGCGUCAACAAGGAUUUCUCCAAGACUGAAAUUGUAGAUAAUUUGAAGCCCAGCCCUUUGGGGAAAGCCAUGCUUUCCUGCUUAUCGCGGGUGUGCAAUGACUAAGAGGACAGGUGUGAAGGUUUUCGCGUGCACAACAGGAAGUCUCGGGACCAGAUGGGAGGAUGGUCGUGAAGAAAGGAAGUAAAAGGUUAGCAUUGCAAAUCGCCCUCGUCACUCGGGACCCACACCUUCCUGGACAAGCUUGACACCCACCAUCGAGCAGAAUGAACCCACCUACCGUUGGCCUUCAGAUUAUACCCGGGUAUGUCGGCAAGCUUGAGAGGCCCGCGGGUCAAAGUUAUUUUCCCAUGUGAGGCUGUUUCCUAGAAAUGGGAUCCUUCUUGGGAAACCCACAUUGCUGGCGAGGACUGGCGAGGCUCCACCUCCUGGUGACCCGAGCGUUCAGCAGAAAGUGAACAGUUCUCCAGCUCACCGGGCUUUCGGUUUCAAACAGGUUUGAAGAUCUCAUCACUACUUUAUAGUCACGAGAUAGAAUUGGUAGCUAGCGCCACAGGAAUAAUAAUAAUAGUAAUAAUAAUAUAAAAAAAUAAAAUAAAAGACUGAAAGGGGUAUUAAUAUUUCUUGUGGAAGCAAGUGUGUUUGUUAUGCUGAUGACCAACUUUAAAGGGAU
This 1463-nucleotide long non-coding RNA is filed under the name Pomacea canaliculata. Its description in RNAcentral is "uncharacterized LOC112560876, transcript variant X2". Lineage: Eukaryota; Metazoa; Mollusca; Gastropoda; Architaenioglossa; Ampullariidae. The record is from RNAcentral.